UAGGGAAUAUUGGACAAUGGGGGCAACCCUGAUCCAGCCAUGCCGCGUGAGUGAAGAAGGCCCUCGGGUUGUAAAGCUCUUUUGUCCGGAAAGAAAAGCUUCGGGUUAAUACCCCGGGGUUCUGACGGUACCGGAAGAAUAAGCACCGGCUAACUUCGUGCCAGCAGCCGCGGUAAUACGAAGGGUGCAAGCGUUACUCGGAAUUACUGGGCGUAAAGCGUGCGUAGGUGGUUGUUUAAGUCUGAUGUGAAAGCCCUGGGCUCAACCUGGGAAUGGCAUUGGAAACUGGGCAGCUAGAGUGCGGUAGAGGGUAGUGGAAUUCCCGGUGUAGCAGUGAAAUGCGUAGAGAUCGGGAGGAACAUCUGUGGCGAAGGCGACUGCCUGGACCAGCACUGACACUGAGGCACGAAAGCGUGGGGAGCAAAC
RNAcentral lists this ribosomal RNA (426 nucleotides) under uncultured bacterium. RNAcentral describes it as "bacterial SSU rRNA". It matches the Rfam family "Bacterial small subunit ribosomal RNA", at positions 355 to 773 of the family's 1533-position model. The record is from RNAcentral.